This 506-nucleotide ribosomal RNA is filed under the name uncultured bacterium. Its description in RNAcentral is "partial 16S ribosomal RNA". It matches the Rfam family "Bacterial small subunit ribosomal RNA", at positions 29 to 523 of the family's 1533-position model. The record is from RNAcentral.
AGUGAACGCUGGCGGUAGGCCUAACACAUGCAAGUCGAACGGCAGCACAGAGGAGCUUGCUCCUUGGGUGGCGAGUGGCGGACGGGUGAGGAAUACAUCGGAAUCUACUCUGUCGUGGGGGAUAACGUAGGGAAACUUACGCUAAUACCGCAUACGACCUACGGGUGAAAGCAGGGGACCUUCGGGCCUUGCGCGAUUGAAUGAGCCGAUGUCGGAUUAGUUAGUUGGCGGGGUAAAGGCCCACCAAGGCGACGAUCCGUAGCUGGUCUGAGGGGAUGAUCAGCCACACUGGAACUGAGACACGGUCCAGACUCCUACGGGAGGCAGCAGUGGGGAAUAUUGGACAAUGGGCGCAAGCCUGAUCCAGCCAUACCGCGUGGGUGAAGGAGGCCUUCGGGUUGUAAAGCCCUUUUGUUGGGAAAGAAAUCCAGCUGGCUAAUACCCGGUUGGGAUGACGGUACCCAAAGAAUAAGCACCGGCUAACUUCGUGCCAGCAGCCGCCGUAA